RNAcentral lists this ribosomal RNA (207 nucleotides) under uncultured bacterium. RNAcentral's name for it is "partial 16S ribosomal RNA". It matches the Rfam family "Bacterial small subunit ribosomal RNA", at positions 568 to 774 of the family's 1533-position model. The record is from RNAcentral.
CGCGUAGGCGGCCUGCUAAGUCUGGAGUGAAAGUCCUGCUUUCAAGGUGGGAAGUGCUUUGGAUAUUGGUGGGCUGGAGUGCAGGAGAGGAAAGCGGAAUUACCGGUGUAGCGGUGAAAUGCGUAGAGAUCGGUAGGAACACCAGUGGCGAAGGCGGCUUUCUGGACUGAAACUGACGCUGAGGCGCGAAAGCGUGGGGAGCAAACA